Talpa occidentalis (Iberian mole) is the source of this 432-nucleotide long non-coding RNA. RefSeq lists it as uncharacterized. Lineage: Eukaryota; Metazoa; Chordata; Mammalia; Eulipotyphla; Talpidae. The record is from RefSeq and is a predicted model, not a curated record. The transcript has 3 exons.
AAAACGGCCUUCCCGGUAAUCUGGAGUAGCCUCCCUGGAGCCAGGCCUGGGGACACAGAUGGGCAAUGCAUGGCCCCUGCCCUCAAGGAGGUGGUGGAGAUAAGCAACAGACCAUCAUUGGUUCAAGCCCUAUUUCAUGAAGAGGAGCCCCCCAGUAAGACACACCUUCCUCUGCUGCAGAUUCUCAGUGACGUGUCUCCUGACAGCCACACUUACUCCUUCUAAAUUCAUAAUAAAUCCAAGACUUAGCUGAUGACAUCUGCAAAGACCCUAUUCCCGAAAAAGGACUCAUACUCAGGUUCUGGGUUGAUACGAAUUUUAGGGGCCACUGCUGGGCCAGGACACACUCCUGCCUGAGUGUAAAUCUACCUGGUUUGACUCAGUCUCACAGUCUACUGCUUCUUAUGUACUUGAAGUGAACAAAUGGCUGAC